Molecule: long non-coding RNA, 1266 nt
Filed under: Equus asinus (donkey)
Lineage: Eukaryota; Metazoa; Chordata; Mammalia; Perissodactyla; Equidae
Description: lncRNA (ENSEASG00005029005.1)
Source: RNAcentral
GAGGAAACUCAGGGAAGUUAACCAACUUGUUUUUCAGGAAAUCAUAACCUCAAACACUAAUAUUUACUGAGCUGUUAUUAUGUGCCAGGCACUCUAAAAGCAUAAUUUUCGUUUACUUUUCACAACAUCCCUCUGAGUUAAGUUUAUCAUCCUUAUUUUACGGAUAAGGAAACUCAGGGAAAUUAAGCAACUUCUCGGAGGUCACAAUCUCACUUCCUGAUGGAUCCCAAAUCCUAGAGACAAUUAGUUUAGAGAGCUAGGAUUAACAGAAUUCCACUUACAGGGCCAGGUCCUCAAUUUUUGCAGUAAUUUAGUCGCUAUGGCAUAUUCUCAAGAAGCUAUUGGAGAUAGGCUCCAUAAAACAAGAAAGAGGAAGACAGAGAAUCCAGGAAACUGGGCAUCAACUCAGGAGAGACAGGAAGGAGGCAACCAGGAUGACAACUUCAAAGCAAGUCAAAGAGCAGCAAGCUCAGAUUGAGACAGCAAAAUGGUUGAGCAGAUACCUCACCAAAGAACAUUUUCACACCAGUUGCAAGACUGAGCUUGGAACCAGGAACAAGAUUAUUACUCUUUGCUAAUCUUGGCCAGGAUCUGCAGGAGGGUACCUCAAAGAAGAGGUGAGAUUGUGGAAAAGGUGAAGUGAGUUCAGUCAUUGAAGAAAGAAGUUUUUCUGGCUCCAAAAUAUGGCAACUCUACUGUAACAAAUACUAAAAAUAUGGAAGUCGUUUGGAGUUGGGUAAUGGAUAGAGGCUGGAGGAAUUUUGAAGAACGUGAUAGAAAAUGCCUAGAUUGCUUUGAACAGACUGUUAGUAGAAAUAUGGGUGUUAAAGACUGCUGGUGAGGUCUCAGAAGGCAGUGAAGAGCAUGGUAAGGAAAACCUACACAAUCUUAAAGAAUACCUAAAUCAUAAGCAAACUGUUUGUAGAAAAACAGAUGUUAAAAGCAAUGCUGGUGAGGAUUCAGAAGGAAAUAAAGAAUGUAUUUUUGGAAACUGGAGGAAAGGGGGAUAUGCAUGAAGGUAGAAAGCUUAGAUGAAUUGUCCUAUAAUUAAAUAGAAAAUAGAACUUGUAAGCAAUAACCAUGGAUAUUUAGUUGAAAUUUCCAAGCAAAGUAUUGAAGGUGUGACCUGGGUUCGUCUUGUUGCUUUCAGUAAAAUGUGAAAGAGAUAAAAUGAGAGAACUGCUACAAAAAGAAACCAGAAUUUGAUGAUUUGGGAAUUUCUCAGCCUAUCCAGAUUGCAGAAGAUGCUAAAGCUAAGAGACCCAC